Molecule: long non-coding RNA, 551 nt
Filed under: Helianthus annuus (common sunflower)
Lineage: Eukaryota; Viridiplantae; Streptophyta; Magnoliopsida; Asterales; Asteraceae
Description: hypothetical non coding rna
Source: RNAcentral
UUUUCAAAUCAAUAAAGUUGUGGCCAUGACCAUCUCAAUAUUUCUAGAAGAAAAAAUGAUAUCGAUUUUUAAUAUGAUGGUGUAAAUGAGUUCGUCUUCUCGUGAUCUACUUCAGAUCAGCAUGUUAAAAGCUCAAAUUGAGUCUCCUUUCAAAAAAUAAAAAAGCAUGAAUUCAGUCAAAGGCGAGGAUCCAGUCUUCUUUCUACACCUUCAUCACACUCCUACAUAUAGUCAGAUGGUUUAAACAACAUUCUUUUCUGUACCAGAAAUCAAUGUAACCAAUCUGCAGCCCCCCUUUGUGGAUGAUGUUGUUUCAUGUUUUGAUAAAGGUAACAAAAUGUGAAAGCCAAAUAGAAGCCAGCUGGACAGCACUGGAGGCUUGGAAAAGUGGCAAUAAAGUUACCUAAAAAUAAAACGGAUGUUUUUAUUAAAUAAAUAGGAUUUAUUCCUAUGAAAUGUGUGUAUUGAAAACUUGGGUUUUACCCAUAUGUUUAAUGUUAUAAAACAUGGUGGUUUACUCUGAUUAAAUAUUUCCUAACUACGGUCCUGAU